Molecule: ribosomal RNA, 433 nt
Filed under: uncultured bacterium
Lineage: Bacteria
Description: partial 16S ribosomal RNA
Rfam family: Bacterial small subunit ribosomal RNA
Source: RNAcentral
AGCGAACGCUGGCGGCAGGCCUAACACAUGCAAGUCGAACGGAUCCUUCGGGAUUAGUGGCGGACGGGUGAGUAACACGUGGGAACGUGCCCUUUGGUUCGGAACAACUCAGGGAAACUUGGGCUAAUACCGGAUGUGCCCUUCGGGGGAAAGAUUUAUCGCCAUUGGAGCGGCCCGCGUCUGAUUAGCUAGUUGGUGAGGUAACGGCCCACCAAGGCGACGAUCAGUGGCUGGUCUGAGAGGAUGAUCAGCCACACUGGGGCUGAGACACGGCCCAGACUCCUACGGGAGGCAGCAGUGGGGAAUCUUGCGCAAUGGGCGAAAGCCUGACGCAGCCAUGCCGCGUGAAUGAUGAAGGUCUUAGGAUUGUAAAAUUCUUUCAGCGGGGACGAUAAUGACGGUACCCGCAGAAGAAGCUCCGGCUAACUUCGUG